GUCCAUGCCGUAAACGGUGGGCGCUAGGUGUAGGGGUCUUCCACGACUUCUGUGCCGUAGCUAACGCAUUAAGCGCCCCGCCUGGGGAGUACGGCCGCAAGGCUAAAACUCAAAGGAAUUGACGGGGGCCCGCACAAGCGGCGGAGCAUGUGGAUUAAUUCGAUGCAACGCGAAGAACCUUACCUGGGCUUGACAUGUACGGGACCGCCUCAGAGAUGUGGCUUCCCUUGUGGCUCGUAUACAGGUGGUGCAUGGUUGUCGU
RNAcentral lists this ribosomal RNA (262 nucleotides) under uncultured bacterium. RNAcentral's name for it is "partial 16S ribosomal RNA". It matches the Rfam family "Bacterial small subunit ribosomal RNA", at positions 793 to 1055 of the family's 1533-position model. The record is from RNAcentral.